UUUUAUUUUUUUUUCUUCUGAGAAAUUCAAAGAAGGUGUGCUUCUUUUGCUGCAGUCGUCGUUGUGCCAACCCUUGCUGAAUCUGUUUUUGUUGUGAUGCAUUGAGGAGUUAGUUGGUGGAGAUGAAUCUCAGAUGUUGUUUGGGAGAGAACAAUCACGUGCCCCAUCCUUUUCCUUUUCUCUUUUUUAUUUUUUUUAAUUCAACAAAUCAAUAGGUGACAUUUUUUAUUUUAUUUUAAAUCUGUAAUUACACAUGUGGUAUGCCAACAAGCGUUGAUUGGGUCAAAAUUGGGCAAAAGGACCAAAAACGCAAAGGGGCUAAAUCUUAGGGGGCCAAAAUUAUAGUUUUUGUACAUAGGGGGCUAAAAUUGCAACUUUUUAAAAGUUAGGGGGGAAAGUGCACUU
This 405-nucleotide long non-coding RNA is filed under the name Medicago truncatula (barrel medic). RNAcentral's name for it is "lncRNA gene45611". Lineage: Eukaryota; Viridiplantae; Streptophyta; Magnoliopsida; Fabales; Fabaceae. The record is from RNAcentral.